Molecule: ribosomal RNA, 344 nt
Filed under: Colophon primosi
Lineage: Eukaryota; Metazoa; Arthropoda; Insecta; Coleoptera; Lucanidae
Description: partial 16S ribosomal RNA
Source: RNAcentral
AUGGCCGCGGUAUUUUGACCGUGCAAAGGUAGCAUAAUCAUUAGUUUUUUAAUUGAAAGCUGGAAUGAAUGGUUGGACAAGAAAAUUUCUGUCUCUAUCUAAUUUUUAGAAUUUUAUUUUUUAGUUAAAAAGCUUAAAUUUUUUUAAGGGACGAGAAGACCCUAUAGAAUUUUACAUGUUAAUUUGUUUUGGAUUUUUAGUUUUAUUAUAAAAGAAUAAGUUUAAUUUGUUUGGUUGGGGUGAUUGGAAAAUUUGAGAAACUUUUUUUGGGUUUGAUCAUUAAUUUAUGAAUAAAUGAUCCAUUGUUUGUGAUUAUAAGACUAAAUUACCUUAGGAUAAACAGC